ACGGUCUGUAACCAUGGUCCUUCCGUACGCGCGCGACACUGGAUCCACGUCUAUUAAUUGUUUAAGAAGGUGGGGCGCGUGUUGUUAUUUUUUUUUUUAUAUAAAAUUACAGAAAUGCCCUUGUUGCUCUAUUCUUUCAAAAAUUAAAAGAAUGGGUAUUUUGGUCCAACUCAAAAGGUGCACCUUGCUAACUUAGACCUAACUA
RNAcentral lists this long non-coding RNA (205 nucleotides) under Trifolium pratense (red clover). RNAcentral's name for it is "long non-coding RNA (TPRA_LNC001617)". The record is from RNAcentral. Lineage: Eukaryota; Viridiplantae; Streptophyta; Magnoliopsida; Fabales; Fabaceae.